UCAACUUGAGAGUUUGAUCCUGGCUCAGAACGAACGCUGGCGGUAUGCUUAACACAUGCAAGUCGAACGGGUGUAGCAAUACAUCAGUGGCAAACGGGUGAGGAAUAUAGAGGAAUUUUCCCAGAAGUGAGGAAUAACUCUGAGAAAUCAGAGCUAAUACCACAUAAUAUCCUGCGGGAGAAAGCAGCAAUGCGCUUUUGGAUGAGCCUCUAUCGGAUUAGCUAGUUGGUAGGGUAAUGGCCUACCAAGGCAAUGAUCCGUAGCUGGUCUGAGAGGAUGAUCAGCCACACUGGAACUGAGACACGGUCCAGACUCCUACGGGAGGCAGC
This 329-nucleotide ribosomal RNA is filed under the name Alphaproteobacteria bacterium RIFCSPLOWO2_12_FULL_40_11. RNAcentral describes it as "bacterial SSU rRNA". It matches the Rfam family "Bacterial small subunit ribosomal RNA", at positions 1 to 352 of the family's 1533-position model. The record is from RNAcentral. Lineage: Bacteria; Pseudomonadati; Pseudomonadota; Alphaproteobacteria.